This 393-nucleotide ribosomal RNA is filed under the name uncultured bacterium. RNAcentral describes it as "partial 16S ribosomal RNA". It matches the Rfam family "Bacterial small subunit ribosomal RNA", at positions 523 to 918 of the family's 1533-position model. The record is from RNAcentral.
AUACGGAGGAUGCGAGCGUUAUCCGGAUUUAUUGGGUUCAAAGGGAGCGUAGGUGGGAUAUUAAGUCAGCUGUGAAAGUUUGGGGCUCAACCUUAAAAUUGCAGUUGAUACUGGUUUCCUUGAGUACGGUACAGGUGGGCGGAAUUCGUGGUGUAGCGGUGAAAUGCUUAGAUAUCACGAAGAACUCCGAUCGCGAAGGCAGCUCACCGGGCCGGAACUGACACUGAUGCUCGAAAGUGCGGGUAUCAAACAGGAUUAGAUACCCUGGUAGUCCGCACAGUAAACGAUGAAUACUCGCUGUUUGCGAUACACUGUAAGCGGCCAAGCGAAAGCGUUAAGUAUUCCACCUGGGGAGUACGCCGGCAACGGUGAAACUCAAAUGAAUUGACGGGG